RNAcentral lists this ribosomal RNA (775 nucleotides) under uncultured Neocallimastigales. RNAcentral's name for it is "partial large subunit ribosomal RNA". It matches the Rfam family "Eukaryotic large subunit ribosomal RNA", at positions 24 to 645 of the family's 3401-position model. The record is from RNAcentral. Lineage: Eukaryota; Fungi; Neocallimastigomycota; Neocallimastigomycetes; Neocallimastigales.
UAUCUCUGUAGAGUCUGCAUAUCAAUAAGCGGAGGAAAAGAAACUAACUAGGAUUCCCUCAGUAACGGCGAGUGAAGCGGGAAGAGCUCAAAUUUGAAAUCUUCAAGGUUCUACCUUGACGAAUUGUAGUUUAAAGAAGUGUUUUCUGUUGGUAGUUUUGGUAAAAGUUCUUUGGAAUAGGACAUCAUAGAGGGUGAGAAUCCCGUAUUUGACCAUUAUUUCCAGCUUUGUGAUACACUUUCAAAGAGUCGGAUUGUUUGGGAAUGCAGUCCAAAAUGGGUGGUAAAUUUCAUCUAAAGCUAAAUACUGGCGAGAGACCGAUAGCGAACAAGUACCGUGAGGGAAAGAUGAAAAGAACUUUGAAAAGAGAGUUAAACAGUACGUGAAAUUGUCAAAAGGGAAGCGUUUGACACCAGUGUUGUUUUCUCGAAAAUCAAUUAAAAAAGGCAGGAUUUUGUGUUGUAUUGACUUUAUCAGCUUUCUGCACUCUUUUCUUGUCUUUUUUAAUGCACUUUUCGUUUAACAAGUCAACAUCAAUUUCUUUUGUUGUAAAAGGGUCAUUGGAAGGUGGCUUUCUUUUCGGAGAAAGUGUUUAUAGCCUUUGGCCUCUGCAAUCGGAGAGGUUGAGGUCUGCAGCGUAGAUCCUUCGGGGUUAGAUACAUUUGUGCUAAGUUAUAGCCUUUCAUAGACAACUUGUUGACUAUGAUCAGUCAUGUAGCUUACUCGCUUAUGCUAUUUUACCUACGCUUAGGAUGUUGAAGUCAUCGUAUCGCGC